ACAGUUUAUACACAAGGCUAGUGUUGUGCAAUGCUUGGCAACAAUCCUGUGUCAUCCUCACAUGCAUAGUUCUUAAGAGAGCAAUAUCUUCUUUCUGCUGAUAACACCUGGGCCUACAGUGCUACCCUGUCACAGGCAGACUUGCUGUUACGUUAAGAUACUUGGUUUCUGGUGAUAACCAAACUUCCCUGGCGUUUAGUUUCAGGAUAGGGCAAUCAACGGUAUGUUUCAUCCUACAGGAGACCUGCGAAGAUCUGGUCAUUCUUCAAACCUCUGUAUUUGCAAGCACAAAGUGAUCAAUAGCUUCAGAUUGCUAAUGAAUUUUGGGAUAUGUGGAAUUAUCCAAACUGCAUUGGAGCUAUAGAUGGGAAACGUGUCACUAUCCAGGCACCCAUCAACUCUGGAUCAGAGUAUUUUAAUUAUAAAAGGGGGUUCAGCAUUGUGCUUCUUGCCAUGUGUGAUGCAAGAUGUUGCUUCACACUUGUUGACAUCAGCAGCAGUGGUCACUGGAGUGACGGGAGCAUUUUAUCAGUCUGAGUUGGGCAAGGCGCUGGAACAGAAUAGGCUAGCUGUCCCAUUGCCAAGAGCAUUGCCAAAUGGAGAUGAAGCCUUACCUCAUGCGACCCUACCCUGGAAAGCAUCUGCCAAUCUGCCAGUGUUUAUAACUACAGGCACUCGCGUGCCCAAUGUGUAAUUGAAAAUGCCUUUGGUAUUUUGGUGAGCAGAUGGGCAGUGUUCAGCAGGCCAAUGAGGAUGAAACCCAAAAAAGCCAUUUCUGUUGUUCAGGCAGCAGUUUGCCUUCAUGCUUAAAGGCGAUGGGGAUGGAACAAGCAGCGUUGAAGUGGAGGGUACACUUGCUGAUGUGGACAGAUGUCUUGGGAGGGGGGUGUUUUCAUAAGGGGCCACUUUAUCUAACUGGUCUGGUCCCAGCAGCUCUCUGUACGGCUGUUGCAACAGCCUCCAUGUCUGUCUCCAUUUCAACUGCUGACCCUUAACACAUCAGUUUUAGUACAAACAAAUACAGUUUUCUGUCUUAUUUUAAGUAACACUUUACUACCACUUAGUUGUAGGGUUGUAAGAUUUUUUAUAGUUGAAUCUUGGUGUAAACUCUUGAGCAUUAUUUCAUAGAAUUCAUCUCCUUGAUGAAUUCAUCUCCUUGAACACACAAGAGAAGCAUGUUGAUAGUCAAUAGCAAUUUCCAAAAAACUGAGACAGCUAUCAGAGAAAUAAAUAAAUAAAUAAAUAAAUAAAUAAAUAAAUAGUGACUUCUCACUAAUGAAACGUAAUAUUAUGUAAGCAAUAAGACCUGACAGGGUGCUUGAUAUUGGGCAAUACCGGACCGCCCUAGGGUGUAAUGAGGCCCGAUGCCACAAGUCUGGUAUUUCCCAAUAAUCCCCACCCUGAGGGUCUUACUGCGCUUAGAAAAUUGGCAACUUAUGUAGAAAAAAUCCAUAUCAUAUCAGCAUAUCUAUACAAGGAAAGAAGAUACACAGUACAGAGAUUUAUACUUCAGACUCUUGACAAAAAAAAAGAUUGUUUUACUCUUUUUUGUUUACCCAUUUAAUCGUAAAAAAUCAAAUACAUCGUGCCAGUGACAUCAAGUGGACUAAAAUGCAGACUAGAAAAUGCAGCAUAUGUGUACUAACUUAAUCCUGAUUGUAGCGUACCAAACAGAUGAUUCCGGUAAUUGGUGUACCUGAUCGGACGAGAAAACCGUGGUAUGUAAACAAUUAUGCCAAGCAAAUUCAGAAAUGACUGUGAAUGAAGUUACUGAUGGUAGUAAAAAGCAAACAUCCACAAUAAACAGAACUCUCCAGAUGGCAACCAACAUUUAUUUAGCCCUUACAUCCAUGUGAAUACGUAUAACACGAUUCUAAAAUGAAGUAUUUUUUGUUUAAAAUUCAAUAUUAAUUCAGAGAAUGCAUAAGUGUAAAUAAAUGGGGAAGCAUAAAUGCUUGGGACAUGCAAAAGUACUAAAUUAGUCUUAUCCUUCACAGUUCAAAAUUAAUCCACUUGAACAGGAUCGUCACGAAUCUGAUUUUAUACCCUGCAAUCGGGAUUUUUUUUAGUCUGAUUUAGGAGAUAAUCUAUGAUGUACACUGCAAACGGGAUUAGAACUGUACUAAUUUUAGUCAACGUGGACUAAACCGGUUUAACCCACUAGUUGGACACAUCAAGUGGACUAACUUUGGUAGGCUGCAAUUGACACUAUAUGUCCACAUCACCUGUUUAACUUAGUAUUGUGAAAACAAUAACGUAACUGAAUUUUAAAACUAAAAUAAAACUGAGCUGUCGUACUCACAGGCUCCACGAUCUGCUAAGGGGUUUUCUGCAGGUAUGUUGUUAACAUAAAAAAAUACUGUAUUAAAUGUUUUACAACUUGUAGUAUUCCCGGUGGGUUUUUACACGACUAAGAAUGGUUCGGUUUAUAUCUAGGUAUUAGUCCAAUUCUUUAUAUUAAAACACCAUCUUCCUUAUGUGUAGGUCUUAUACACCACGCAACUGUAACUUCCUGUGUGUUUCAAAUUGCAUUCUAGGAAUUGUAGUUUUCCAAGAGCUCUUUGUUUGAGUUAAAUGGAGAACAACUUCGGGAUAAACUACAAUGUCCAGCAUUGUAAUCUAAUUUUGCAAUAAACGAUUUUAUUGUUGUUUAUUUUAAUACAGAAAUUAACGUCGUUCUUUUAAGUAUUGUGUGACGGCGGUACCACCCACUUCUCCUAGCAGGGACUUUCCAGGAUCUCUGGCCUGGGGAUUUUCCCCACAGCUGCCAGGCAGGGACUUUCCAGGA
Long non-coding RNA from Polyodon spathula (Mississippi paddlefish), 2788 nucleotides. RefSeq lists it as uncharacterized. The record is from RefSeq and is a predicted model, not a curated record. Lineage: Eukaryota; Metazoa; Chordata; Actinopteri; Acipenseriformes; Polyodontidae. The transcript is spliced from 3 exons.